UUCUCUCUAAUGAGUUGCCUCCCUCAACAAUAAAAGGUGUUGUUAAGGGGGGCGACUCCUAUACUGACACCUCUCUCUUAAGCCUUGUAAGUCAUAUUUUCACCAACCGAGAAACUCCCUCUUCAUGAAUUGUACAUAGCUUUUAGUAGAGGCAGGAGACAAAAUCCCCCAUUAAGGGACAAUACCUUCCAUUAUUGGGGGUUCAC
Molecule: long non-coding RNA, 206 nt
Filed under: Gossypium barbadense (sea-island cotton)
Lineage: Eukaryota; Viridiplantae; Streptophyta; Magnoliopsida; Malvales; Malvaceae
Description: long non-coding RNA (GBAR_LNC009666)
Source: RNAcentral